UUGACGGGGGCCCGCACAAGCGGUGGAGUAUGUGGUUUAAUUCGAUGCAACGCGAAGAACCUUACCAGGCCUUGACAUGCAGAGAACUUUCCAGAGAUGGAUUGGUGCCUUCGGGAACUCUGACACAGGUGCUGCAUGGCUGUCGUCAGCUCGUGUCGUGAGAUGUUGGGUUAAGUCCCGUAACGAGCGCAACCCUUGUCCUUAGUUACCAGCACGUUAUGGUGGGCACUCUAAGGAGACUGCCGGUGACAAACCGGAGGAAGGUGGGGAUGACGUCAAGUCCUCAUGGCCCUUACGGGCUGGGCUACACACGUGCUACAAUGGUGGUGACAGUGGGCAGCGAGCACGCGAGUGUGAGCUAAUCUCCAAAAGCCAUCUCAGUUCGGAUUGCACUCUGCAACUCGAGUGCAUGAAGUUGGAAUCGCUAGUAAUCGCGGAUCAGCAUGUCGCGGUGAAUACGUUCCCGGGCCUU
Molecule: ribosomal RNA, 472 nt
Filed under: uncultured Pseudomonas sp.
Lineage: Bacteria; Pseudomonadati; Pseudomonadota; Gammaproteobacteria; Pseudomonadales; Pseudomonadaceae
Description: bacterial SSU rRNA
Rfam family: Bacterial small subunit ribosomal RNA
Source: RNAcentral